This 1899-nucleotide ribosomal RNA is filed under the name Bacteroidales bacterium. RNAcentral describes it as "partial 23S ribosomal RNA". It matches the Rfam family "Bacterial large subunit ribosomal RNA", at positions 1 to 1934 of the family's 2925-position model. The record is from RNAcentral. Lineage: Bacteria; Pseudomonadati; Bacteroidota; Bacteroidia; Bacteroidales.
GAGAAAGAGAAGCAGGGCGUACGGAGGAUGCCUUGGCUUCGGCAGGCGACGAAGGACGUGGUAAGCUGCGAAAAGGUCCGGGGAUCCGCAAACAGGACGUGAUCCGGACAUAUCCGAAUGGGGCAACCCACACGGUUGAAGACCGUGUACAGCGAACAGCUGGGCGAACCCGGGGAACUGAAACAUCUUAGUACCCGGAGGAGAAGAAAGAAAUAGUCGAUUCCCCCAGUAGUGGCGAUCGAAGAGGGAAGAGCCUAAACCGCCGUGUUCACGGACACGUCGGGGUUGUAGGACCAAGCGACAGGCAUCAGUAUCUGAACCGGAAGCUUCUGGAAAGCUGCGGCGCAGACGGUGACACCCCGGUACGGGCAAGGAGACUGAUGCGAGCAUGGCACCUGAGUAGGGCGGGGCACGUGGAAUCCUGUCCGAAUCCGCGGGGACCAUCCCGCAAGGCUAAAGACUGCCGAAGACCGAUAGCGAACCAGUACCGUGAGGGAAAGGUGGGAAGAACCCCUGGCAGGGGAGUGAAACAGAACCUGAAACCGUGCGCCUACAAGCGGUUGGAGCCCUAGCGAUAGGGUGACAGCGUGCCUUUUGCAUAAUGAGCCUACGAGUUGCUUCAGUGAUGCGAGGCUAAGCCAUUCAGUGGCGGAGCCGUAGCGAGAGCGAGUCUGAAUAGGGCGUAUGAGUAUCACUGAGCAGACGCGAAACCUAGUGAUCUACCCUUGUCCAGGGUGAAGGUGAUGUAACAGUCACUGGAGGCCCGAACCAGUUUCCGUUGAAAAGGGCUUGGAUGAGAUGAGGGUAGGAGUGAAAGGCCAAUCAAACUGGGAGAUAGCUCGUACUCCCCGAAAUGUCUUUAGGGACAGCCUCGUCCGCGCAUGCGUUAGGUAGAGCUACCGAUUGGAAGCGAGGGCUUCGCCGCCUAUCAAUUCCAGACGAACUCCGAAUGAGCGCAUGUUAAGGGACGGGAGUGAGUCGUCGGGUGCUAAUAUCCGUCGGCGAGAGGGUAAGAGCCCAGACCUCCGGCCAAGGCCCCCAAGAACGGUCUAAGUUGAGACAGAACGAAGUGACACCGCAUUGACAGCUAGGAUGUUAGCUUGGAAGCAGCUAUUCAUUCAAAGAGUGCGUAACAGCUCACUAGUCGAGCGGAGUCGCGUGGAUGAUGAUCGGGCAUCAAGACCGUCGCCGAAGCCGAGGACGCGUACCGUAAUGGUAUGCGUGGUAGGGGAGCAUUCCGGUCGGCGCCGAAGGUGAACCGUGAGGUUUGCUGGAGCGUCCGGAAACGAAAAUGUAGGCAUGAGUAACGACAAUGAAUAUAGAAAUAUUCACACCGAAAACCCAAGGUUUCCUGAUCUACGCUAAACGGAUCAGGGUGAGCCGGGAGCUAAGCCGAACCCGAAGGGGUCAGGUGAUGCACAUGCGGUUAAGAUUCCGCAGCCCGGGAUGCAGGGUAGGUGGUGACCGAGGAGUGACACAGCCGCGCGCUGACGGAAUAGCGCGUUGAAGGGAGUAGGGCGACCGAACCCCGACAGUACGGAGAGCAUUCGUGCGAUCCGACAGAGCUGGUAACCAUACUCGCGAGAAAAGCCGCCAUACCGCCAAGCGCAUUCCGGCCCGUACCGUAAACCGACACAGGUGGGUGAGGAGAGGAUCCUAAGGUGCUCGAGUGAAUCACGGCCAAGGAACUAGGCAAAUUGACCCCGUAAAUUCGGGAGAAGGGGUCCCUACGUGAGUAGGGCGCAGAGAAAUGGCCCAGGCGACUGUUUACCAAAAACAUAUGGCUAUGCGAAAUCGUUAAGAUGACGAAUAUGGCCUGACACCUGCCCGGUGCCGGAAGGUUAAGAGGGGGGCUUAGCGCAAGCGAAGGUCUGAAUCGAAGCCCCGGUAAACGGCGGC